Molecule: ribosomal RNA, 253 nt
Filed under: uncultured bacterium
Lineage: Bacteria
Description: partial 16S ribosomal RNA
Rfam family: Bacterial small subunit ribosomal RNA
Source: RNAcentral
UACGUAGGUGGCAAGCGUUGUUCGGAAUUACUGGGCGUAAAGAGUGCGUAGGCGGUGCUCUAAGUCUGUUGUGAAAUCUCCCGGCUUAACUGGGAGGGUGCGGCGGAAACUGGAGUGCUUGAGGGUGGGAGAGGUAAGCGGAAUUCCUGGUGUAGCGGUGAAAUGCGUAGAUAUCAGGAGGAACACCUGUGGUGUAGACAGCUUACUGGACCACUUCUGACGCUGAGGCACGAAAGCGUGGGUAGCAAACAGG